Hyla sarda is the source of this 4661-nucleotide long non-coding RNA. RefSeq lists it as uncharacterized. Lineage: Eukaryota; Metazoa; Chordata; Amphibia; Anura; Hylidae. The record is from RefSeq and is a predicted model, not a curated record. The transcript is spliced from 2 exons.
CUUUUUAUCCAUAUGUGGUGACGUGUCGGUGUUUUAGUACAAAGCUAAGUGAUUAUUGACAAUGUUCCCGGCCACUAGAUGGCAGCUCUAAACCCCUCUCUCCCCUUGUGUAGAUCAGGGCACCCUGGUUGGGAAACACAUGUAUAGACACUGGCUACUCUUUAUUUAUGCCAUGCUGGAACCUCCAGAUUUAAAAACACAAGGCAACAUCCUUAUGGGGAUGGCCUUAUCUGUUUUUUUUGUUUGUUCUUGCUUUUUUUUAUUUGUUUUUAUUCUACUUUUGUAGUAGUAAAUGUAAAAUAUUCUUGUAAAUAUCUACACAUUUUAGUAUUUUAAGGCAUUAAAGGAAAGCUAAGUAAUAAAUUCUAAUGUCUGUCGUGUUCUUGCUCAUUUUGUUUUAGGACCACGUUCCCAGGGUGUAAGAGGAAUAGAUAGCACCAGUGUUUUCCCCAACCAGGGUGCCUCCAGCUGUAGCUAAUCUGCAACUCCCAGCAUGCCCGGAAAGCCGACAGCAUGCUGGGAGUUGUAGUUUUUCAACAGCUGGAGGCACCCUGGUUGUGAAAACACUGUCCUGGAGGCAUACAUGCUUCUUGACUGUCUUAGUAUUUGUUUUAUUCUUUAUCAAGGUGAUACCAUUGAUCAUACGUAUUUAGGUAACCUUGGUUAUAGUUCAUGAAACAGUUUUGUGUCUGUACAGUUAAGCAUCAUGGCUGCCGAUCUUUGCCUGGCUUGUCUGAUGGCAUUGAAUUUUUAGAACAAAGGACCCUUUAGGUUUUUCAUAGGACAGUGUUUUCCCACCAGGGUGCCUCCAGCUGUUGCAAAACUACAACUACCAGCAUGCCCAUAUAGCCAUAGACUGUUCGGGAGUUGUAGUUUUCCAACAGCUGAAGCCCCCCAGUUGGGACACCCUGGCCUAGGUGAUGCCGCCUGCAAUGAUCUGCAAAAUCACUGGAUGUACUUGAGGUGUGCUGAUUCUUGUAGUCCUCCAAGGCACCUGAUACAAGUGCAAAUCAGUGGCCAUCACAUCUUAUCCCUGUGUUUUUUCAAGCAGUGUAUCCAGCUGUUGCAACUCCAAGCAUGCCCAGACAACCGACUGCUGGGAGUUGUUUUGCAACAGCUGGAGACACACGAUUUAGAAGGCACACUUAUCCCAACAUAUGGGAAAAGAGUGCUUAAAGGGGUACUCCACUGAAACUUAGACUCAUAGUGAGGCUCUCUCUAUUUAGGCUUGUAGAGCGGGGUCCCCCCUUGUGUCCACAUUCUCUAUAUUCGGGAGACUAUUCCUGUAAAGCUCCACCUGCAGCCAUGAGGUGGAAUAAACAGUUUUUAAAAUUCUUAGCAAUUGCAGUAUUUUUCCUGGUAAUAUUUGAGUACACGGUCAAUUGGGUCUCUUCAUUCCCUUGCCAAUAGGGCAGCCUUUCCCAACCAGGGAGCCUAAACUACAACUCCCAGCAUGCCCGGACAGCCUUUUGCUGUCCGGGCAUGCUGGGAGUUGUAGUUUUGCAACAGCUGGAGGCACCCUGGUUGGGAAACACUGCAAUAGGGUGUUUCCCUUCAGCCUGUUGUUGUCCAGUAAAUGCGGACCUUAUGGGGACACAACCUAUUUCCUUGGGGGAAUGGUAACACCCAGUUACUAGUAUAGCCUGGGGGGGGGGGGCAUUAUGGCCCAGAAUUGCAGCUAUUGAAAAUGAAUGUGGUCACAUUGCGACCCACAUGUUUGUCAUCAAAAAUCCUGAAUGCUUCUUAACUUGCAACGUGACCGCAUUCACCUCGGUUAGCUGCAAUAGGAGCGGCACAGCGAGGGCCAAAUAUAGCCCUAGCUCAUAUAUUUCCAGGAGUAGUGACAGAGGAACAGGGCAGCAUAGGGUUCUAAAUUGGCAGUUCAAUGAAAAAUUCUGACAAAUUGACUCAAUCCAACAGACUGAUAAUGUACAAAAGUGUUUUCAAAGUGCGCAUCCAGCUUUGAAAAACUACAACUCCCAGACCAAGAAUGCUGGGAGUUGUAGUUUUGCAACGGCUGGAGGCAUGCUGGUUUGGAAACACUGUUAUAAGGCAGUGGUCUCUAAACUGUGGACCUUCAGCUGUUGCAAAACUACAACUCCCAGUAUGCCCGGACAGCCGUUGGCUGUCCGGGCAUGCUGGGAGUUGUAGUUUUGCAACAGCUGGUGGCACCCUGGACAUAGAUUGUGUCUGUGUGUAUCGAACAGACUGAAAACACUUCCUAUCUGUACAUUAUCAGUCUGUUCGAUACACACAGACACAAUCUAUGUCCAGGGUGCCACCAGCUGUUGCAAAACUACAACUCCCAGCAUGCCCAGACAGCCUUAGGCUAUCCGGGCAUGCUGGGAGUUGUAGUUUUGCCACAGCUGGAGGCAUGCUGGUUGGGAAACUGUUAUAAGGCAGUGGUCUCUAAGCUGUAGACCUUCAGCUGUUGCAAAACUACUACUCCCAGUAUGACUGUCCGGGCAUGCUGGGAGUUGUAAUUUUGCAACAGCUGGAGGCACACUGGACAUCGUCUGUUUAGUACUGACUGCUUAGGGCAAGGUCAGCCCUGCGCUAUUGUUUCUGCUGAUCCUGGGGAUGUGUAUAAUGCACGACCCCAUCAGCUGAUCAUACAGGUAUAUACUUCUGUAUAAUGAUUGUAAUAUUAUAACCUAUGGUGGAAACUCUGGGGCUAAUACAUGUAUCUGCUAAUGUACCAUAUAAACCUAUAUACAUUUCAUACAUUUCAUACAUUGUAUCCAUGAAUACUGCACACUCCUGUCUUUUUGGUUAUUUUUAAUUUUAUUAUAAUACACGAGCUUAAAACCUCUGUCUACUACUUUGGAAGCCGGGCUGGUACAUGUAGUUCACAUUAUGAUGUUCUCCACUUUUUUUUUAUUUAUUUAUUUUUUUCCCUCCAGCUGUUGCAAAUACUACAACUCUUUGCAUGUCAUGACUGCUGCAUGCUGGGAAUUGUAGUUUCACAACAUCCUAGACACUGUCUGGCAUUGAUUAUUGAUCCCGUAUAAUUCCUACAUGAUAUAAAUUUACAUUAAAGGGGUACUCCGGUGUAAAAAAAUUUUGUUUUUUUUUUUAUCAACUGGUGCCAGAAAGUUAAAAAGAUUUGUAAAUUACUUCUAUUAAAUCUUUAUCCUUCCAGUACUUAUUAGCGGCUGUAUGAUAAAGUUCUUUUUGUUUUUGGAUUUCCUUUUUUUUUUUUUUUUUUUUUUUUUUUUUUUUUCCUCUAACCACAGUGCUCUCUGGUGACACCUCUGUCUGGUAUCAGGAACUGUCCAGAGCAGGAGAGGUUUGCUAUGGAGAUUUUAUCCUGAUCUGGGACAGUUCCUGAUACGGACAGAGGUGUCAGCAGAGAGCACUAUGGACAGAAAAAAAAGAAAAGGACUUUCUCUGUAGUAUAGACAGCUAAUUAGUACUGGAAGGAUAAAGAUUUAAUAGAAGUAAUUUACAAAUCUUUUUAACUUUCUGGCACCAGUUGAUUAAAAACUAAAUAUUUUUCACCGGAGUACCCCUUUAAACUUUAAUUUGCAGGACAAUGCAUCGUGUUCUAUGCCUGAUUAUAUCAUCCUAAUACCUUACACCUAUUGAAUAAAAAAAAAGUGCCCUCUUAAAAUGCUAGUGUGAACUAGACCAUAAUAUAACACUUUCACAGAGAUUUGCAUGGGACUGCCGGCAAUUUGGUAGACUGCUCUCUUGGGCAGAGCGCCGAGAACUAGCCGGCAGUUUUCAAGUUAAUACUGCCGCCGCAACAACUUUAGUGUUACCCUUUGAAAGCAGUGCUUCCGAUCCAGGGUGCCUCCAGCUGUUGCAAAACUACAACUCUCAGCGUGCCCAGACAGCCAACGGCUGUCUGGGCAUGCUGCGAGUUGUAGUUUUGCAACAGCUGGAGGCACCCUGGAUGGGAAGCACUGCUUUAAAUGGACCACCAUUGCCAAACAUUCUGCACUGAUAUGUACUAAAUAAAUAUAAUUUUUUUAAUUUAAUAAAUAUUAAAUAAAUAUAUUUAAUAUAUAUUAAAUACAUUUAUUUAAUAAAAAUGUAUUAAAUAUUUUAUAUUUAUGGUGAUUCUGACACUGCUCCAAAUCCCCUGCAUAGCCAUAGAGUUAAAAAGAUUAAAAUUCUGUCUCUAGUCAGACAAUUUAAUUUCUUGAGCCCCUCCGAAGGAUUUGAGCCCACUAUAUUAAAAAAAAUAUAUAUAUAUAUAUAAUUUUUCUUUUAACAUAAUGUUGAAUAAAAAAAAUGGUAAGUGGUGGGAUACUGUUCUAAAGAAUAAAUAAAUCCCCCCCCCCCCCCGCCCCCAAAGUUUGCUUCAUUAGUCCCAUAGGUUUUCAGUAUGUCUUCCCACCCACCCCCAAAAAAAAUCACCGUAAUUGAAAAUAACUUAUCUUUUGUCGCAGUGUCCCAUUCCACCAUAAUGUAAAGAAUGAAAGCUUUAAGCACGCUUUGCUCUUUUCUAUAUGACGUUCCUCUCAACCCCCUCCCCCUUUGUAUAAAGAGAUUGUAGAUAACGUGGAUGUUCUAAUUAUAGAAAUUAAUCUUGUUACUUGUUACACAAUUUUGGUCGGUUUUCAUUGCUUCUUGAGAAUAAUUGUCCAUGAAUAUAGUUGAUAUGCUGUGUUAUGUAUAACUUUUCUAAUAAAAGCCUUGAUAAUCUUAAUCAA